RNAcentral lists this ribosomal RNA (470 nucleotides) under uncultured bacterium. Its description in RNAcentral is "partial 16S ribosomal RNA". It matches the Rfam family "Bacterial small subunit ribosomal RNA", at positions 28 to 507 of the family's 1533-position model. The record is from RNAcentral.
GACGAACGCUGGCGGCGUGCUUAACACAUGCAAGUCGAACGGUGAACGAGGGAGCUUGCUCCCUCCGGAUCAGUGGCGAACGGGUGAGUAACACGUGAGCAAUCUGCCCCGAACUCUGGGAUAAGCGUUGGAAACGACGUCUAAUACCGGAUACGACGCGGGAGGGCAUCCUCUCCGCGUGGAAAGAACUUCGGUUCGGGAUGAGCUCGCGGCCUAUCAGCUUGUUGGUGAGGUAACGGCUCACCAAGGCAACGACGGGUAGCCGGCCUGAGAGGGUGACCGGCCACACUGGGACUGAGACACGGCCCAGACUCCUACGGGAGGCAGCAGUGGGGAAUAUUGCACAAUGGGCGCAAGCCUGAUGCAGCAACGCCGCGUGAGGGACGACGGCCUUCGGGUUGUAAACCUCUUUUAGCAGGGAAGAAGCGAAAGUGACGGUACCUGCAGAAAAAGCACCGGCUAACUACGUG